GGGCCAGUAGCUCAGUCGGUAGAGCAGGCGCCUCUUAAGCGCAAGGUCUUGAGUUCGAUCCUCAACUGGCCCACCA
RNAcentral lists this transfer RNA (76 nucleotides) under Candidatus Peregrinibacteria bacterium. RNAcentral's name for it is "tRNA-Lys". It matches the Rfam family "tRNA". From Rfam's summary of the family: Transfer RNA (tRNA) molecules are approximately 80 nucleotides in length. Their secondary structure includes four short double-helical elements and three loops (D, anti-codon, and T loops). The record is from RNAcentral. Lineage: Bacteria; Candidatus Peregrinibacteriota.